This 452-nucleotide ribosomal RNA is filed under the name uncultured bacterium. RNAcentral describes it as "bacterial SSU rRNA". It matches the Rfam family "Bacterial small subunit ribosomal RNA", at positions 8 to 461 of the family's 1533-position model. The record is from RNAcentral.
AGAGUUUGAUCCUGGCUCAGAUUGAACGCUAGCGGAAUGCCUUACACAUGCAAGUCGGACGGCAGCGCGGGCUUCGGCCUGGCGGCGAGUGGCGAACGGGUGAGUAAUGCAUCGGAACGUACCCAGUAGUGGGGGAUAACCGCUCGAAAGAGUGGCUAAUACCGCAUACGUCCACGGGAGAAAGCGGGGGACCUUCGGGCCUCGCGCUAUUGGAGCGGCCGAUGUCGGAUUAGCUAGUUGGUGGGGUAAAGGCCUACCAAGGCGACGAUCCGUAGCUGGUCUGAGAGGACGGCCAGCCACACUGGGACAUGACGACACGGCCCAGACUCCUACGGGAGGCAGCAGUGGGGAAUCUUGGACAAUGGGGGAAACCCUGAUCCAGCCAUUCCGCGUGUGCGAUGAAGGCCUUCGGGUUGUAAAGCACUUUUGGCGGGGAAGAAAUUGCGCGGGCA